GCUGAGGAGGAGGGGAGCAGAAGUCCAGAGCCUGGCAGGCUGGGAUUGAACAUUUGCUGUGCUAAUCCACUUGUGAAUACUCGCUGCAUGUAGUGUAAACACCUCGACAGCCUGUUCAUAUGUGCCUGUCAACUCAAUCGUUUCCUCCCCCAGGGUUCCAGGCCUGCUGCCUGGGACAGAGCCCCAGAACUGACAGAGGCAGAUAACCUCAGAGAAGGCAAAAUGAUAGUCUUAUGCUUCAGCCCUGUUCUCUCUGGUCCUCACUUUUCCCCAGAUGUCAGAGCUACCGGUGCUGCAGGCAUGCGAGCCCAGAGCCGCUUGCUCUCCUCCCACGAGUCAGAGCCUGGAAGGGAAGAAAGAGAGAGUGGAGAGGGAUCUGGCCUGGCCCCCAUGGUGUCCUCGCCGCCUUGCGAGGCAGAUUGCGUCUGAAAAUCAUA
Molecule: long non-coding RNA, 437 nt
Organism: Microtus ochrogaster (prairie vole)
Lineage: Eukaryota; Metazoa; Chordata; Mammalia; Rodentia; Cricetidae
Source: RefSeq, a predicted model, not a curated record